UGUGUGAUCCUCAAAAUUUCAAGCUUGAUUUAGCUGGAUAAGUACCUGUCUCUUCUUUAUUAUGAUUUGUAUAUCAACUAAACUUAGGUAGAUAAGGUGGGUUUUCAUGGAAGUCUAUAGUUUCUACUAAUUAACUCUCUCAAUAAAUGUAUUUGAUUCUUAGAAAUCAAUAUCCCGCACUCAAUUAGACAUCUAGGGUCAAAGAAUAAGAUGUAGAAUCCAUGGAGAUAUAUAGAAGAAGUUAAGAUUGAUCAGAGAAGUUGAGCUUCAAUUUGUGAUAAAAUUGGUGAAAACUAGAGUUGGAC
Molecule: long non-coding RNA, 305 nt
Filed under: Manihot esculenta (cassava)
Lineage: Eukaryota; Viridiplantae; Streptophyta; Magnoliopsida; Malpighiales; Euphorbiaceae
Description: long non-coding RNA (MESC_LNC010687)
Source: RNAcentral